UACGGAGGGUGCAAGCGUUGUCCGGAUUCAUUGGGUUUAAAGGGUGCGCAGGCGGGCGAUUAAGUCAGGGGUGAAAGACGGUUGCUCAACAAUCGCAGUGCCUUUGAUACUGGUUGUCUUGGGUGACCUUGAGGUAGGCGGAAUGGGUGGUGUAGCGGUGAAAUGCAUAGAUACCACCCAGAACUCCGAUUGCGAAGGCAGCCUACUGGAGGUUCACCGACGCUCAGGCACGAAAGCGUGGGGAGCAAACAGG
Molecule: ribosomal RNA, 253 nt
Filed under: uncultured bacterium
Lineage: Bacteria
Description: partial 16S ribosomal RNA
Rfam family: Bacterial small subunit ribosomal RNA
Source: RNAcentral